ACAACUCCUGACACCCAGUGGUCGUCCCGAGAGGGAUUCGGAGGUUGGGAUUUUCCGAUCAAAGUUGGAGACGGGUUUCAUACUUGAACCUGGAAUAAAUUACCCGAGCCUCUGCCCUAAUUUCCCUUUCUGUUUGACUGGUGGUUUUACUAAGACUUCCGGGCCUGACAGGAUCCUUCUGGAAUUUCCAAGGUGCUAGGUGCCCUCGCCUUCCGACAGUGCCGGUGAGGAGCAGAACAACCGCCUCUGCAAGGGGUUUGAAUCCCCCCGGCACAGGCACAAGACGCUGGCGGGGGUGUGUGGGCGAGUGUGGCCUCCGAGCAUCUCAGAGGACAGCCCUGCGGUCUGACGCGGCCUCGUCCCCUCCUGCUCUCUACGUGGGGGUUGGUGGCUGUCACGUCACGGUCUCAAGGAGAGAGAUGAAGACUUUGCAAAAAAAAAAAAAAAUCGUGGAUAUAAUUUCCUCCGUUUUAUGCAUUUCCCCUCCCACAAAAACAGCCUUGAACUCGCUGCCGAGACAAAAUCGGUGAACAAGUGGUAAAGAACAUGAACAGAAACACCUGGAAGCGGCCUAUCAUGCUUAGCGUGGUUUAAGGCCAGGAGCGAGCCUGGCUGUGGUUUUACAUCACCUUCCAAAUGCUACAUUCUUCUUCGGGAACGUGGUUUCCGUGCCUGGGAGGGAAUUCAACAGAGCUCUUGUAGGGGGAGACUAAUCUUUUUGCUUUUUCAGCGCUCAUUGGUUUUUAGUUGGAACGGCCCCUGUAACAAAAAGACAUUACUAACAAGAGAAAAACAGACGUUUGUCGGCAUGUACUUUUCCUAGUUGCACAGGAGACACCCAGGGAGUGAGUCGUUCUCAAAGAGGUGGCUUCAAAUUUCAGCGUGUGUCGCAUCCUCAACAAGGAACGGGUCUUGCUCUGUCCCCCAGGCUGGAAUGCAGUGGCCUUACUUAUCACAGCUAGCUGCAACCUCUGAACUCCUGGCCUUAAGUGAUCCUCCCUCCUCGGCCUCUCAUGGUGCUAGGAUUACAGAGCUCAAGAGGCCUGUGGGACCUUCCCUUCCAACCCCUGCAGCGCUCUGCCAAGAGGAAUCCUGAACACAUUUCCCCAUCUGGAUAGCUUUCAUGGGUAUGACUGGGAGAGACGACGAGGCAGGCUGGUCUCUUACAUCGCACGUCUCAAACCAGACGGCCUGGACAGCUGACCGUCUCGCAGUGGCCACGCUGGCCCUGAGCACGCAAGGCACUCCGCUCUGGAGCCCUGAUAGAGGCAAGAGUGGGCCAGUGACUCCUGGAAGGACUGUUCCAUCUGCAAAUGCUACAAUUGAUCGAUGACUCAUUUAAGCUUUACAAGAAGUCACAGCAAUGACCCGGGUAGGGACAAAAUUAUAUGAUUAAGUUUCCUUUAUUCCCUAUAAUUAAAUACACCUAUGAUUGCUA
Lemur catta (Ring-tailed lemur) is the source of this 1438-nucleotide long non-coding RNA. RefSeq lists it as uncharacterized. The transcript has 3 exons. The record is from RefSeq and is a predicted model, not a curated record. NCBI's taxonomy places the organism in Eukaryota, Metazoa, Chordata, Mammalia, Primates, Lemuridae.